UACGGAGGGUGCGAGCGUUGUCCGGAAUCAUUGGGCGUAAAGGGCGCGUAGGUGGCCCGGUCAGUUUGUGGUGAAAGCGCGGGGCUCAACUCCGCGUCGGCCAUGAAUACUGCUGGGCUGGAGCACUGUAGAGGCAGGCGGAAUUCCGGGUGUAGCGGUGGAAUGCGUAGAGAUCCGGAAGAACACCGGUGGCGAAGGCGGCCUGCUGGGCAGUAGCUGACACUGAGGCGCGACAGCGUGGGGAGCAAACAGG
Molecule: ribosomal RNA, 253 nt
Filed under: uncultured bacterium
Lineage: Bacteria
Description: partial 16S ribosomal RNA
Rfam family: Bacterial small subunit ribosomal RNA
Source: RNAcentral